This 69-nucleotide transfer RNA is filed under the name Coleoptera sp. 14 KM-2017. Its description in RNAcentral is "tRNA-Gln". Lineage: Eukaryota; Metazoa; Arthropoda; Insecta; Coleoptera. The record is from RNAcentral.
UACAUUUUAGUAUAAGAUGUACAAGAAUUUUUGAUGUUCUUAGAAAUGGUUAAAUUCCAUUAAAUGUAA